AUCAACGCUGGCGGCGCGCUUAACACAUGCAAGUCGCACGAGAAAGCAGUAGCAAUACUGUGAGUAAAGUGGCGUACGGGUGAGUAACACGUGGAUCAUCUACCUUCUAGUGGGGAAUACCCCUGGGAAACUGGGGACAAUACCGCAUAAGCUCGUAAGAGGAAAGCAGCAAUGCGCUGGAAGAGGAGUCCGCGGCUGAUUAGCUUGUUGGCGGGGUAAUGGCCCACCAAGGCGAAGAUCGGUAGCCGGCCUGAGAGGGCACACGGCCACACUGGCACUGAAACACGGGCCAGACUCCUACGGGAGGCAGCAGUGGGGAAUCUUGCACAAUGGAGGAAACUCUGAUGCAGCGACGCCGCGUGAGCGAUGAAGCCCUUCGGGGUGUAAAGCUCUUUCGACGGGAACGAUAAUGACGGUACCCGAAGAAGAAGCUGCGGCUAACUACGU
Molecule: ribosomal RNA, 447 nt
Filed under: uncultured bacterium
Lineage: Bacteria
Description: bacterial SSU rRNA
Rfam family: Bacterial small subunit ribosomal RNA
Source: RNAcentral